UGUCAAGGGCAAAAAUGCAUGCUUUUGGUCUGUUUCAAAAAGACAACUGGUGUUUUGUGCCAGGGUUGCGGUCAUGCAGCUUGUGAUAAGACAUCCGAGAAAGAAGAGGUCUUAAGAGAAGAACACAGAUGCAUCCUUCUGUGAGACAAAUUGAUUUGGUGGAUCAUCACUGUAUGUGGCUUGCCAUUUGAUCCAGGUGCCAUGGUUUUAUUUUAACGUGCCACAGGAACACAAAGUUCUGUUUUCAGAACAUCACCUCGGCUCCAUACAAGUUCACCUCCACAGUCCCUGCGUUAUCCUCAACUUGAUCUUCUCAAAGACCUUGUUCAACAGAAAGAGAAUAAUUCUCCAGUGCUGGACAUAAAGGUACGUCAAAAGCAGAGCUGCUCCUUGUUGGACGUGGAUCUAGGCCAUUGUCUCUUUCCUCUGGAUGCGUUUGGGGUUACA
This is a long non-coding RNA of Labeo rohita (rohu), 447 nucleotides long. RefSeq lists it as uncharacterized. The transcript has 3 exons. The record is from RefSeq and is a predicted model, not a curated record. Lineage: Eukaryota; Metazoa; Chordata; Actinopteri; Cypriniformes; Cyprinidae.